Molecule: ribosomal RNA, 253 nt
Filed under: uncultured bacterium
Lineage: Bacteria
Description: partial 16S ribosomal RNA
Rfam family: Bacterial small subunit ribosomal RNA
Source: RNAcentral
UACGGAGGGUGCGAGCGUUGUCCGGAAUUACUGGGCGUAAAGGGCUCGUAGGCGGCCCUCUCAGUCUGAUGUGAAAUCCCCAGGCUUAACCUGGGAAUGGCAUCCGAUACUGGAGGGCUUGAAUUCGGGAGAGGGAUGCAGAAUUCCAGGUGUAGCGGUGAAAUGCGUAGAUAUCUGGAGGAAUACCAGUGGCGAAGGCGGCAUCCUGGACCGAGAUUGACGCUGAGGAGCGAAAGCUAGGGGAGCAAACGGG